AAAUGAAGCAGUUGCCCCACUACAUUCUGAAUGACUGAAAAACUGUGGAAGCAGAGGCAUCAGUAGGAUAGAGGGCUAUUGCAUCCAGCAGUCAGAAUGUUCUACAAUAAUUCCACGGCCUCAGCUCAUUUUUAGGUUCUUGUGUCUGACGUUCUGCCUCUCUUACUUCUCAGGUGCCUGAUUUCUUUUGCCUCGCCUGAGAACAGGUCUGUUUUGCUCAAUGUCCUACAAUAUUUGAUAGAACUGGAUUCAAAUAUGGUGCUUCAUCAGCUGAUUCCCCUAUCUAUCAUAUGCAGGUCUGAAACUAAAGGUGCCAUGGAAUUGUCUCCCAUAUAAUUCUGAAAGUGCUUGAUCUACUAUCUCUUAAUCCCAAGACUUGUCAUUCAGAGGUCACCAUCCUCUUAGAAGGAAGAAUCAGUAAUAGAAAACAGAAGUAAUAGACUCACUCCUGCAUAGUAAGUCUCUCUGUAUUAGCUGAUCAGAAGUAAGGGGCAGCUCCAUUGGCCUGUUACCUUGGAUCAUCAUGAGUAAAAACAUUCGGAUGGUAGAAAGUAGAGGGAAAUGAUUGGCAAUUAAAGGCCUAGAAGUAAUUUUCUUUGGAAUUUUUUUUUCUCCUCAUCUUUCAAGUUGAUGUGGACAUUUCUCUUUGAAUGGCGCAGCCAAUAGGUGAGUUGAUUCUUGGUGAUAAUCAUAGAUAAGGUUAAUCUCAGGAUUAGGUUAAAAAAAAAAAGAGGGGGAAUAAGCACUUUCUCCCUAAAUAUUUCCUACUGAAAUAAUCACUGUUGCAAUCACAGAAUGUCUCCUAUAACUCUUUGAAAUGAUUGAAGUGAGCCCUCACAUUCUUUCUGGCAAGGUGAAUUCCUGGGUACCUUUCACAAAGUAGAACUUCCAACCGCAUUGGCAUUUCCAAGAAUAUAUCUGGAAAAAAACAAAUGAAUCUUAACUCUCUAAGAGCUCUUUGUCUGUUUUUAACCAGUGGUGAGAAAUAUAAGUGGGGACAGUGAAGAACAACCUGUACCAUACAUAUUGGACAGUCUUCAGUUUUGAGAGCUGGAAAGCCUUUUAGAGAUCAU
RNAcentral lists this long non-coding RNA (1073 nucleotides) under Sus scrofa (pig). Its description in RNAcentral is "lncRNA (ENSSSCG00005009461.1, ENSSSCG00025062118.1)". Lineage: Eukaryota; Metazoa; Chordata; Mammalia; Artiodactyla; Suidae. The record is from RNAcentral.